This 677-nucleotide ribosomal RNA is filed under the name Burkholderia gladioli. RNAcentral's name for it is "bacterial SSU rRNA". The record is from RNAcentral. Lineage: Bacteria; Pseudomonadati; Pseudomonadota; Betaproteobacteria; Burkholderiales; Burkholderiaceae.
AACGGCAGCACGGGUGCUUGCRCCUGGUGGCGAGUGGCGAACGGGUGAGUAAUACAUCGGAACAUGUCCUGUAGUGGGGGAUAGCCCGGCGAAAGCCGGAUUAAUACCGCAUACGAUCUACGGAUGAAAGCGGGGGACCUUCGGGCCUCGCGCUAUAGGGUUGGCCGAUGGCUGAUUAGCUAGUUGGUGGGGUAAAGGCCCACCAAGGCGACGAUCAGUAGCUGGUCUGAGAGGACGACCAGCCACACUGGGACUGAGACACGGCCCAGACUCCUACGGGAGGCAGCAGUGGGGAAUUUUGGACAAUGGGCGAAAGCCUGAUCCAGCAAUGCCGCGUGUGUGAAGAAGGCCUUCGGGUUGUAAAGCACUUUUGUCCGGAAAGAAAUCCUGAGGGCUAAUAUCCUUCGGGGAUGACGGUACCGGAAGAAUAAGCACCGGCUAACUACGUGCCAGCAGCCGCGGUAAUACGUAGGGUGCGAGCGUUAAUCGGAAUUACUGGGCGUAAAGCGUGCGCAGGCGGUUUGUUAAGACCGAUGUGAAAUCCCCGGGCUCAACCUGGGAACUGCAUUGGUGACUGGCAAGCUAGAGUAUGGCAGAGGGGGGUAGAAUUCCACGUGUAGCAGUGAAAUGCGUAGAGAUGUGGAGGAAUACCGAUGGCGAAGGCAGCCCCCUGGGCC